CCUUGGGUCUGGCUGGCCGGUCCGCCUCACCGCGAGUACUGGUCCGGCUGGACCUUUCCUUCUGGGGAACCUCAUGGCCUUCACUGGCUGUGGGGGGAACCAGGACUUUUACUGUGAAAAAAUUAGAGUGUUCAAAGCAGGCCUUUGCUCGAAUACAUUAGCAUGGAAUAAUAGAAUAGGACGUGUGGUUCUAUUUUGUUGGUUUCUAGGACCGCCGUAAUGAUUAAUAGGGAUAGUCGGGGGCGUUAGUAUUCAGCUGUCAGAGGUGAAAUUCUUGGAUUUGCUGAAGACUAACUACUGCGAAAGCAUUCGCCAAGGAUGUUUUCAUUAAUCAGGGAACGAAAGUUAGGGGAUCGAAGACGAUCAGAUACCGUCGUAGUCUUAACCAUAAACUAUGCCGACUAGGGAUCGGACGGGAUUCUAUAAUGACCCGUUCGGCACCUUACGAGAAAUCAAAGUUUUUGGGUUCUGGGGGGAGUAUGGUCGCAAGG
This 491-nucleotide ribosomal RNA is filed under the name uncultured eukaryote. Its description in RNAcentral is "SSU rRNA". It matches the Rfam family "Eukaryotic small subunit ribosomal RNA", at positions 639 to 1136 of the family's 1831-position model. The record is from RNAcentral.